Molecule: ribosomal RNA, 322 nt
Filed under: Asiagomphus septimus
Lineage: Eukaryota; Metazoa; Arthropoda; Insecta; Odonata; Aeshnidae
Description: partial 12S ribosomal RNA
Source: RNAcentral
UAGGUAUGUUCUUGAAACCCAAAGAAUUUGGCGGUAUUUUAGUCCUUUCAGAGGAAUCUGUCCCAUAAUCGACAGCCCACGAGAUGAUUUACUUAUUCUUGUGUUUCAGUUUGUAUACCUCCGUCAUAAGAAGAUCUUUUUAGAGAUAAAAUUUUCUUAAUAUAUUAAGUAUAAUAUGUCAGGUCAAGGUGCAAUUUAUGAAUAAGUGGAGAUGGAUUACAAUAAAUUUAUUUAAAUGGAUUAAAUUAUUUAAUUUUUUAUGAAGGUGGAUUUGAUAGUAAUUUUAAUUGUUUAUUAUCAUGAUUUUGGCUCUAAAAUAUGC